UACGAAGGGGGCAAGCGUUGUUCGGAAUUAUUGGGCGUAAAGGGCGCGUAGGCGGUGCGGUAAGUCACCUGUGAAAUCUCCUGGCUCAACUGGGAGCUUGCAGGCGAAACUGCCGUGCUGGAGUGUGGGAGAGGUGCGUGGAAUUCCUGGUGUAGCGGUGAAAUGCGUAGAUAUCAGGAGGAACACCUGUGGCGAAAGCGGCGCACUGGACCACAACUGACGCUGAGGCGCGAAAGCUAGGGGAGCAAACGGG
This 253-nucleotide ribosomal RNA is filed under the name uncultured bacterium. RNAcentral's name for it is "partial 16S ribosomal RNA". It matches the Rfam family "Bacterial small subunit ribosomal RNA", at positions 524 to 776 of the family's 1533-position model. The record is from RNAcentral.